Molecule: ribosomal RNA, 909 nt
Filed under: Triticum aestivum (bread wheat)
Lineage: Eukaryota; Viridiplantae; Streptophyta; Magnoliopsida; Poales; Poaceae
Description: partial small subunit ribosomal RNA
Source: RNAcentral
CGUGCGAUGCGCUCUCCUCCACUCCUUUUUCUUCUAUCCCCAGAACACAUCUGUGCUAGUUCAUCUCUAUCUGCAUCCUCGCCGGCGCGGCACACAACUCCCAUCCCCCACUUCAAACCAUUUUAUUUCUUACCGAUGUGAGAGUCACCCUGGAUUUGUGGUGUGCCAGCCACGGCGGCGCCCGGCGUUGACUACUCCGAGCGGCCAGCACGGCCGCACAACUUUGCUUCCUCGCGCUGGAGUUAGUGCUGUGCUGCCACCGCCGGCGACGAGGCGGACAAGCUUUUUGGUGCUGCAAUCAGUUGCGCCCUUCGACGGCGGAGUUUCAUCCGUGCGCGCCGAAGCUGGAAACGGCGUUUUUGGGAGCUGCAAGCAGUGCAGGUCAGCGGCCGCGACGAGCCAGAGGGUGGCGACGUGAUGGGCGGCGAGCUCGCACGGCUUGGCAGACGACGAUGGCCAUCGUUUUUUACCGGGAGGACGCGGCACCAGCGGGGACGCGACCUGUGCCGGGGAUAGAACGAGCGUUGACCAGAUCUGACGGUUGAGGGAAGAUUAAUUCGACGGCUCGCGCUUGACCGGCCGAACUAUUGGGCCGGUGCGCCGGCGCCUAUCAGUCCCCUACACGCAAUGCCAAACGCAGCCUAACAUUUAACAUAAGAAGUUAACCAAAAAAGGGAACAACAAAAUACUUGAAAUUUUUAUAGAACCUAUCACUCAACUUUCAGGUGCUUGUGAAUUAUGCAUGGUCUCCAAAAGAGGCUGAAGAAGCCUCCGGGGAAGUAAGCAAACUUACUGGCACUGGUUUCCCGUGGAGAUAAUUUGGAUCAUCAUUUAUUUUGGGGUACAGUAUGACCUCUGUACUAUACUUGUAAUACAAAAAUAACACCAAAGAAACAUGAAAUAGUCCGG